GACGAACGCUGGCGGCGUGCUUAACACAUGCAAGUCGAACGGAAAGGCCCUGCUUUUGUGGGGUGCUCGAUUGGCGAACGGGUGAGUAACACGUGAGUAACCUGCCCUUGACUUUGGGAUAACUUCAGGAAACUGGGGCUAAUACCGGAUAGAAGCUCCUGCUGCAUGGUGUGGGUUGGAAAGUUUCGGCGGUUGGGGAUAGACUCGCGGCUUAUCAGCUUGUUGGUGGGGUAGUGGCUUACCAGGGCUGUGACGGGUAGCCGGCCUGAGAGGGUGACCGGCCACAUGGGGACUGAGAUACGGCCCAGACUGCUACGGGCGGCAGCAGUGGGGAAUAUUGCAGAAUGGGGGGAAGCCUGAUGCAGAAGCGCCGCGUGCGGGAUGACGGCCUUCGGGUUGUAAACCGCUUUCGCCUGUGACGAAGCGUGAGUGACGGUAAUGGGUAAAGAAGCACCGGCUAACUACGUG
This 468-nucleotide ribosomal RNA is filed under the name uncultured bacterium. Its description in RNAcentral is "partial 16S ribosomal RNA". It matches the Rfam family "Bacterial small subunit ribosomal RNA", at positions 28 to 507 of the family's 1533-position model. The record is from RNAcentral.